Molecule: unclassified non-coding RNA, 200 nt
Filed under: soil metagenome
Description: partial contains 5.8S ribosomal RNA, internal transcribed spacer 2, and large subunit ribosomal RNA
Source: RNAcentral
AUUCCGAAGGGCAUGCCUGUUUGAGUGUCAUGAAAUAUCAAUCAAUUAGCUUUGAUUGGAACUGGGCUCUGCCGUCUGGCUUGCCUCAAAAGCGUUAGUGAUCGGUGGCGUAAUAAGUUUCGUCAUGGCCGGUCGCUCACAACCCCCCAUAUUAUUUUAUCUCUGACCUCAAAUCAGGUAGGACUACCCGCUGAACUUAA